UACGUAGGGUCCGAGCGUUGCCCGGAAUUAUUGGGCGUAAAGGGCUCGUAGGCGGUCUGUUGCGUCGGGAGUGAAAACUUACAGCUUAACUGUGAGCGUGCUUUCGAUACGGGCAGACUUGAGGCAUUCAGGGGAGAACGGAAUUCCUGGUGUAGCGGUGAAAUGCGCAGAUAUCAGGAGGAACACCGGUGGCGAAGGCGGUUCUCUGGGAAUGUCCUGACGCUGAGGAGCGAAAGUGUGGGGAGCGAACAGG
RNAcentral lists this ribosomal RNA (253 nucleotides) under uncultured bacterium. RNAcentral describes it as "partial 16S ribosomal RNA". It matches the Rfam family "Bacterial small subunit ribosomal RNA", at positions 524 to 776 of the family's 1533-position model. The record is from RNAcentral.